RNAcentral lists this ribosomal RNA (387 nucleotides) under uncultured eukaryote. RNAcentral's name for it is "SSU rRNA". It matches the Rfam family "Eukaryotic small subunit ribosomal RNA", at positions 587 to 985 of the family's 1831-position model. The record is from RNAcentral.
AGCUCCAAUAGCGUAUAUUAAAGUUGUUGCAGUUAAAAAGCUCGUAGUUGGAUUUCUGGUCGGGUGGCCUCGUCCUCAAGCUGAGUGUACUUGGUGACCCGACCAUCCUUCUGUUAACCUUUAAGUUCUUCACGAUCUUCUAGGGGCUCAGAUAUUUUACCUUGAGAAAAUUAGAGUGUUUCAGGCAGGCUAGCGCCGGAAUACAUUAGCAUGGAAUAAUGGAAUAGGACUUUUGCCUCUUCUGUUGGUCUGAGGGGUUCGAGUAAUGAUUAAUAGGGAUAGUUGGGGGCAUUAGUACUUAACUGUCAGAGGUGAAAUUCUUGGAUUGUGUUACGACAAACUACUGCGAAAGCAUUUGCCAAGGAUGUUUUCAUUGAUCAAAGAACG